This 333-nucleotide RNase P RNA is filed under the name Noviherbaspirillum pedocola. RNAcentral's name for it is "Bacterial RNase P class A". It matches the Rfam family "Bacterial RNase P class A". From Rfam's summary of the family: Ribonuclease P (RNase P) is a ubiquitous endoribonuclease, found in archaea, bacteria and eukarya as well as chloroplasts and mitochondria. The record is from Rfam by way of RNAcentral. Lineage: Bacteria; Pseudomonadati; Pseudomonadota; Betaproteobacteria; Burkholderiales; Oxalobacteraceae.
GAAGCGGGCCAGACAGUCGCUGGCUUGCGGGGUUUCCCCGCGGGCGGGAGGAAGGUCCGGACUCCACAGAGCAGGGUGACGGCUAACGGCCGUCCGCCGAAAGUCGCAAGAUAUAAGGCGCGGAACAGGGCCACAGAGACGAGCGUAUUUAGUUACGGUGAAACGCGGUAACCUCCACCCGGAGCAAUUCCAAAUAGGCACGCGAUGAUGCUGCUCGCGGAGCGUGCGGGUAGGAAGCUUGAGCCGUGGAGCAAUUCACGGCCUAGAGGAAUGACUGUCACGCCGGUCUUCGGACAGGCGCUACAGAAUCCGGCCUAUCGGCCCGCUUCAAUG